Molecule: non-coding RNA, 261 nt
Organism: Pelobates cultripes (western spadefoot toad)
Lineage: Eukaryota; Metazoa; Chordata; Amphibia; Anura; Pelobatidae
Source: the annotation of a GenBank genome assembly
UCAGAUCAUAAACCAAAUAUACGUAUAAAUACAUACAAAACAAGCACAGUGUCUGUAUCCCAGCUACACGUGCAGAAUGUCGCGUUGUGCAUAUGUUUAGUUAUUUCAUGGCUGUCAUGUCUCGGUAACUUAAAGAGAUAAAUAUCAUCGUAAGUGACUUUUCCCACAUCCUUUCCCCUGUUCAUCCAAAUGAAGACAGAUAAAUGAAAAAAUCAGCUACUUGAGAGUCAAAAAGGAUUUUUGCCGUUUUGUAAAUUGCGG